Molecule: transfer RNA, 67 nt
Filed under: Tscherskia triton (greater long-tailed hamster)
Lineage: Eukaryota; Metazoa; Chordata; Mammalia; Rodentia; Cricetidae
Description: tRNA-Pro
Rfam family: tRNA
About the family: Transfer RNA (tRNA) molecules are approximately 80 nucleotides in length. Their secondary structure includes four short double-helical elements and three loops (D, anti-codon, and T loops).
Source: RNAcentral
CAAGAAGUAGUUUAAUAAGAAUAUCAGCUUUGGGUGCUGACGGUGGGGGAAAAACCUUCCUUCUUGA